Dipodomys ordii (Ord's kangaroo rat) is the source of this 65-nucleotide non-coding RNA. The record is from Rfam. NCBI's taxonomy places the organism in Eukaryota, Metazoa, Chordata, Mammalia, Rodentia, Heteromyidae.
GGUGGCUCAGUGGUAGAGCUCUUGCUUUCCAUGCUUGAGGCCCUGGGUUCGAUUCCUCAGCACCA